GUCUCCUACUAUUGGUGUAUGGGGUUUGAUGUGUGAUUUAAGCAUUAGUAAUGUUUCUUUUACAUAUUUGGUCUUCUCGUAUUAGGGGUAUAAAUGUUCAGGACUGAGACUUCAUCUUGAUAGAUUGUUCCUGUUAUGAGCAUAAAGUAUCCUUCUCCAUCACUUCUGACUGAUUUUAGUUUGAAUUCUAUUUUAUUAGAUAUGAUGAUAGCUACACCUUCUUUUUUCUUAGGUCCAUUUGAUUGGAAAACCUUUUCCCAACCCUUUACACUGAGGCAAGGAUUGGUGACACCUCUUCCAGAUAACACUGUGACUAUUAGUGAAAAAAAAGUUCACUGAAAGAUUCAAGAAAUCAUCAAGACCCAGUGGCAUUGUCGUUGGCUUCUCAGCAGCCCUCAUUGUCCGCCAUAUUCAGAGAGUCCGGUUUUAUCCCAUGCUUUUUCAGCCGCAGUCCAGCUGGACUUGGUUGACAAGCUGAGGGUGCUAGAGAUGUUUGCGUCAGGUGCCAUUUUCUCUCAGCCUGAUCACUGAGUGAACCUCGGUUCCUAAGAUAUUACACUAUAAAAAAGAGAAAGAACGAUGAUCAAGGAGCAGCCCCUGAGAUGUGCUGAGGUAGGUAUUUCUAGAAAUGAGUCUUAGUGAUAAGGUACAAUUAUUGAUUCUGAAAAAGUAUGGUAACUCUUUCAUAGUUAAUGCCACAGCA
Long non-coding RNA from Alexandromys fortis (reed vole), 703 nucleotides. RefSeq lists it as uncharacterized. The transcript is spliced from 3 exons. Lineage: Eukaryota; Metazoa; Chordata; Mammalia; Rodentia; Cricetidae. The record is from RefSeq and is a predicted model, not a curated record.